CACUGUAUAGCUACUCCAGCAUUAACCUUUUAAGUUAAAGACGGGGAUACACCCCCUGCAGUGA
This 64-nucleotide transfer RNA is filed under the name Macaca fascicularis (crab-eating macaque). Its description in RNAcentral is "tRNA-Lys". Lineage: Eukaryota; Metazoa; Chordata; Mammalia; Primates; Cercopithecidae. The record is from RNAcentral.